Molecule: ribosomal RNA, 1282 nt
Filed under: metagenome
Description: bacterial SSU rRNA
Rfam family: Bacterial small subunit ribosomal RNA
Source: RNAcentral
AUCGAGCAGAGGGAAAAGGAGCAAUCCGCUUUGAGAUGGCCUCGCGUCCGAUUAGCUAGUUGGUGAGGUAACGGCCCACCAAGGCAACGAUCGGUAGCCGGACUGAGAGGUUGAACGGCCACAUUGGGACUGAGACACGGCCCAGACUCCUACGGGAGGCAGCAGUGGGGAAUAUUGCACAAUGGGGGAAACCCUGAUGCAGCGACGCCGCGUGGAGGAAGAAGGUCUUCGGAUUGUAAACUCCUGUUGUUGGGGAAGAUAAUGACGGUACCCAACAAGGAAGUGACGGCUAACUACGUGCCAGCAGCCGCGGUAAAACGUAGGUCACAAGCGUUGUCCGGAAUUACUGGGUGUAAAGGGAGCGCAGGCGGGAAGACAAGUUGGAAGUGAAAUCUAUGGGCUCAACCCAUAAACUGCUUUCAAAACUGUUUUUCUUGAGUAGUGCAGAGGUAGGCGGAAUUCCCGGUGUAGCGGUGGAAUGCGUAGAUAUCGGGAGGAACACCAGUGGCGAAGGCGGCCUACUGGGCACCAACUGACGCUGAGGCUCGAAAGUGUGGGUAGCAAACAGGAUUAGAUACCCUGGUAGUCCACACCGUAAACGAUGAUUACUAGGUGUUGGAGGAUUGACCCCUUCAGUGCCGCAGUUAACACAAUAAGUAAUCCACCUGGGGAGUACGACCGCAAGGUUGAAACUCAAAGGAAUUGACGGGGGCCCGCACAAGCAGUGGAGUAUGUGGUUUAAUUCGACGCAACGCGAAGAACCUUACCAAGUCUUGACAUCCCUUGACAGACAUAGAAAUAUGUAAUCUCUUCGGAGCAAGGAGACAGGUGGUGCAUGGUUGUCGUCAGCUCGUGUCGUGAGAUGUUGGGUUAAGUCCCGCAACGAGCGCAACCCUUAUGGUCAGUUACUACGCAAGAGGACUCUGGCCAGACUGCCGUUGACAAAACGGAGGAAGGUGGGGAUGACGUCAAAUCAUCAUGCCCUUUAUGACUUGGGCUACACACGUACUACAAUGGCGUUAAACAAAGAGAAGCAAGACCGCGAGGUGGAGCAAAACUCAGAAACAACGUCCCAGUUCGGACUGCAGGCUGCAACUCGCCUGCACGAAGUCGGAAUUGCUAGUAAUCGUGGAUCAGCAUGCCACGGUGAAUACGUUCCCGGGCCUUGUACACACCGCCCGUCACACCAUGAGAGCCGGGGGGACCCGAAGUCGGUAGUCUAACCGCAAGGAGGACGCCGCCGAAGGUAAAACUGGUGAUUGGGGUGAAGUCGUAACAAGGU